Molecule: non-coding RNA, 313 nt
Organism: Pelobates cultripes (western spadefoot toad)
Lineage: Eukaryota; Metazoa; Chordata; Amphibia; Anura; Pelobatidae
Source: the annotation of a GenBank genome assembly
UGCAAAACCAGUGAACCACUCAUGGACAGCUGUUUCGUUGUUAAUGCAACUCUUCAGCAUGAGGUUGGUUACUGGUUUGCUUGUUGAGGCUUGGUAGUGCUUGGGAAGCAAAAUCUAAAUAGGUUAUGGUGGGGAAAAAUUGUGAUUGAAAACCCCUUCCACCUGAAGUAUGUGGAUAAUUAAUACAAUGCUAAACAAAAAUCUGCACACCAGUCAAGCCAUAAGACUUGCUUUUCCCACAGAAAUCCCAAAUCAGCAGUGAUGUUACAACCGCAAAGGAUUCUGGGUGGGCAUAUGCAAAUUAGUUUAACAA